This 364-nucleotide ribosomal RNA is filed under the name Bacillus cereus. RNAcentral's name for it is "bacterial SSU rRNA". It matches the Rfam family "Bacterial small subunit ribosomal RNA", at positions 359 to 717 of the family's 1533-position model. The record is from RNAcentral. Lineage: Bacteria; Bacillati; Bacillota; Bacilli; Caryophanales; Bacillaceae.
GCCUUUCCCAAUGUACGAAGUCUAGACGGAGCACGCCGCGUGAGUGAUGAAGGCUUUCGGGUCGUAAAACUCUGUUGUUAGGGAAGAACAAGUGCUAGUUGAAUAAGCUGGCACCUUGACGGUACCUAACCAGAAAGCCACGGCUAACUACGUGCCAGCAGCCGCGGUAAUACGUAGGUGGCAAGCGUUAUCCGGAAUUAUUGGGCGUAAAGCGCGCGCAGGUGGUUUCUUAAGUCUGAUGUGAAAGCCCACGGCUCAACCGUGGAGGGUCAUUGGAAACUGGGAGACUUGAGUGCAGAAGAGGAAAGUGGAAUUCCAUGUGUACCGGUGAAAUGCGUAAAGAUAUGGAGGAACACCAGUGUCC